This is a non-coding RNA of Peromyscus maniculatus bairdii (prairie deer mouse), 77 nucleotides long. Lineage: Eukaryota; Metazoa; Chordata; Mammalia; Rodentia; Cricetidae. The record is from RefSeq and is a predicted model, not a curated record.
GCACCACCACUCAGGGAAUCGAGAAAGAGCUAUCAAUCUGUCAAUCCUGUCCGUAUCCCGGCCGGGUGAGGUUUCCC